Macrobrachium nipponense is the source of this 1687-nucleotide long non-coding RNA. RefSeq lists it as uncharacterized. The record is from RefSeq and is a predicted model, not a curated record. NCBI's taxonomy places the organism in Eukaryota, Metazoa, Arthropoda, Malacostraca, Decapoda, Palaemonidae. The transcript is spliced from 3 exons.
ACUAGUUACUCCUUGUCAACUGUAUUCCUCCGCUGUGGUGGUUUUUCUGUGUGCUGUCGGUUCUGGUUGGUUUGGUUGUUGUCUUGUUGAUCAUCUCGAAAAUGAGCUAAUUUUUCAACAACCUAUCAGGUUUUUGAUGUCGCACUAGAGUCCAGAGGAGAAGUUUGAACUUCAGGACACUGGAACUUCAGGAUAACUGAUUUAUAAUACUGUCGUCAUUGAUCGUGCAGACGAGGUGGUUGCAGUUCUGCAGUGAUAAGGAAGGCUGGUUAAAAUUCUGCUGCUACUUAACAAAAAGUGUUUUCCCCAGGAACCAUCUGGCUGCAGUAAUUAAACCCAUGACAAGGUUUGAAACGAGUCAGCACAGCGAGGGAAAUUAAUUCUUUUCUGAUUUCAACUUGAUGAUACAUUACAAGUGUUCGCUUGGACUUAAUGAUUUUAGUGCUUUGAAGAGUUCACGCGGAAGUCUGAUUGAAUCCGAUUUAACAUCUGCAGCCGAUAAUCUAAUAAUCUACAGAUUACUUUGUAAUUGAAUUAAUUUCAAAUUGUUAUCGUUGAUACAUAAGACACUUGGAUGAAUUCUCACAUAGACUUAACUGCAGCAGUUUGUCUAAUAUUAAACUUGAUUAUUUGAGUGUAAUCAUGAAAUUAGUAUUCGUUUAUGUAAUUUUUUGUCAUUAUAUUUUCGUUGUAGGAAUAUUAUUAGUUUUGAAGUUAUAUUUUAAAAUUUGCUGAAAGUACAUUUCCAUAAGUAGGAAUAUCAAUAAGUGAUUUUUGUGUUUAGCUUUUUGAAUUAAGUAUUAUAAGGUAAUUGUGAUAAUUAUUAGUAAUUGAUGUAAUUUUCUAGAAUCAUAUUUUGGGAUGUUUUUUCUAGAAUUAUAUUUUGGGAUCAUUACCAAUGUGAAGUAUUUGUUUUGAACACUUUCAUCGUGAAAGGUUUAGUUAAAGAUAUAUUACUAUUGUCUAAGAUUCCUUAAUUUUGUAUAUAUAAAGCACGGGAUUCAUAAAUCACUUUUUCAAUGCUCAACUUUUAAUUUAUUGCUUUUGUCAUUCUUAAGAUUGUUUUUCUGUGGAUGUUUUUCUGUAGAGAAAAAUGCAAAGAAAUGUCUACAGAAACUCAUCUAUGUUUUGACAUAGAGGAACCAAUGUACAACUAUAUUGUCCUUGCUAAAUGGUGUUUGCAAUUACAACUAGCAGCUGUUAGAUUAGUAUUAAGCAACCAACAUUAUACGUGCCACCAAUACGUAAAAACUCUACAAUUUUUUUUUAUAUAUUUCCGUUCUAGUUAAUAAUAUAUUUUCUGUGGAGAAAAUGGUAUUUAGCUCAACAGGUACGAAAAAGCACUUAUUCGAGGUAGAGAGUAUGUGUUCACAUAUACAGUUUCGAAACAUCACGUCGCAUAUUUUUGUGUGUGAAAGAGAUUUUAGUGAUGUGUCGAAGUUAUGUGAAUAUAUGCUCACUACCCCGAAUUUGUGGUUUUUCCAUACUCAUUGCAGCUCAACAUUGAGCUGUCAGAAUUCUGAAAUGGAUUUUUUUUACCAAUUUGUACAAGUAAUAAAUCGGACUAAUCAGUGAUUGUAAUAUAAAAUUCAGAAGAUAUUUUUCUCUUAAGAAAAAUGUAAGAUCUGUAUUUCAUGAGAUUGUAAAGUUUAUAAGAUGAGAAAUAAAAUACAAACAAGUCAUAAAA